RNAcentral lists this ribosomal RNA (490 nucleotides) under uncultured bacterium. RNAcentral describes it as "partial 16S ribosomal RNA". It matches the Rfam family "Bacterial small subunit ribosomal RNA", at positions 28 to 507 of the family's 1533-position model. The record is from RNAcentral.
GAUGAACGCUAGCUACAGGCUUAACACAUGCAAGUCGCGGGGCAGCAUGGGGGUUGCUUGCAAUCCCCGAUGGCGACCGGCGCACGGGUGAGUAACGCGUAUCCAACCUGCCCUUCACCACGGGAUAACCCGGCGAAAGUCGGACUAAUACCGUAUGUUGUCCAUUGACGGCAUCCGAUUUGGACGAAAGGCUUGGCGGUGAGGGAUGGGGAUGCGUCCGAUUAGCCAGACGGCGGGGUAACGGCCCACCGUGGCUACGAUCGGUAGGGGUUCUGAGAGGGAGGUCCCCCACACUGGAACUGAGACACGGUCCAGACUCCUACGGGAGGCAGCAGUGAGGAAUAUUGGUCAAUGGGCGUAAGCCUGAACCAGCCAAGUAGCGUGCAGGAUGACGGCCCUAUGGGUUGUAAACUGCUUUUAUGCGGGGAUAAAGUGGCCCACGGGUGGGCUUUUGCAGGUACCGCAUGAAUAAGGACCGGCUAAUUCCGUG